AUAGCUUCUCAGCCUUUUGGCUAAGAUCAAGUGUAGUAUCUGUAAUACAAACACACUCUUGAUUUUGUUUUGGUUUGUUCGGGUUUAUCUUGUCCCAAUUAAGUGGUAUGUACUGUUUCGUCUUCCCCCAGUCUCCUCGGCCUUGCUUCUUAUCUCAAUGCCAGGCAGAGAAGCUUGGAAUAA
RNAcentral lists this small nuclear RNA (183 nucleotides) under Pogona vitticeps (central bearded dragon). RNAcentral's name for it is "U2 spliceosomal RNA (ENSPVIG00000022277.1)". It matches the Rfam family "U2 spliceosomal RNA". Rfam says of the family: U2 is a small nuclear RNA (snRNA) component of the spliceosome (involved in pre-mRNA splicing). Complementary binding between U2 snRNA (in an area lying towards the 5' end but 3' to hairpin I) and the branchpoint sequence (BPS) of the intron results the bulging out of an unpaired adenosine, on the BPS, which initiates a nucleophilic attack at the intronic 5' splice site, thus starting the first of two transesterification reactions that mediate splicing. The record is from Rfam by way of RNAcentral. Lineage: Eukaryota; Metazoa; Chordata; Lepidosauria; Squamata; Agamidae.